This 440-nucleotide ribosomal RNA is filed under the name uncultured bacterium. Its description in RNAcentral is "partial 16S ribosomal RNA". It matches the Rfam family "Bacterial small subunit ribosomal RNA", at positions 338 to 795 of the family's 1533-position model. The record is from RNAcentral.
UCUACGGGAGGCAGCAGUGGGGGAUAUUGCACAAUGGGGGAAACCCUGAUGCAGCGACGCCGCGUGUGGGAAGACUGUCCUCUGGAUUGUAAACCACUGUCCUCAGGGACGAAGAUGACGGUACCUGGGGAGGAAGCUCCGGCUAACUACGUGCAAGCAGCCGCGGUAAUACGUAGGGAGCACGGGUUGUCCGGAAUUACUGGGUGUAAAGGGAGCGUAAGCGGGAUUGAAAGUUGUGGGUGAAGUCUACCGGCUAAACUGAUAGUGGCACUCGAAACUGCGAUUCUUGAGUGAAGUAGAGGCAGGCGGAAUUCCUGGUGUAGCGGUGAAAUGCGUAGAUAUUAGGAGGAACACCAGUGGCGAAGGCGGCCUGCUGAGCUUUUACUGACGCUGAGGCUCGAAAGUGUGGGGAGCAAACAGGAUUAGAUACCCCAGUAGUC